RNAcentral lists this ribosomal RNA (459 nucleotides) under uncultured bacterium. Its description in RNAcentral is "partial 16S ribosomal RNA". It matches the Rfam family "Bacterial small subunit ribosomal RNA", at positions 338 to 795 of the family's 1533-position model. The record is from RNAcentral.
CCUACGGGUGGCAGCAGUGAGGAAUAUUGGUCAAUGGUCGGGAGACUGAACCAGCCAAGCCGCGUGAGGGAGGAAGGUACAGAGUAUCGUAAACCUCUUUUGUCAGGGAACAAAGACUGGGACGCGUCCACGGAUGAGUGUACCUGAAGAAAAAGCAUCGGCUAACUCCGUGCCAGCAGCCGCGGUAAUACGGUGGAUGCGAGCGUUAUCCGGAUUUAUUGGGUUUAAAGGGUGCGCAGGCGGUCUGUUAAGUCAGAGGUCAAAGCACGGGGCUCAACCCCGGCCCGCCGUUGAAACUGGCAGUCUCGAGUUGGAGAGAAGUAUGCGGAAGGCGCGGUGUAGCGGUGAAAUGCAUAGAGAUCGCGCAGAACUCCGAUUGCGAAGGCAGCAGGCCGGCUCCACACUGACGCUGAGGAACGAAAGCGUGGGUAUCGAACAGGAUUAGAUACCCCUGUAGUC